This 529-nucleotide ribosomal RNA is filed under the name uncultured bacterium. RNAcentral describes it as "bacterial SSU rRNA". It matches the Rfam family "Bacterial small subunit ribosomal RNA", at positions 17 to 518 of the family's 1533-position model. The record is from RNAcentral.
UUCUGGCUCAGGACGAACGCUGGCGGCGUGCCUAAUACAUGCAAGUCGAACGGUCUUUCUAUGGAAGCUUGCUUCCACUGAGAAGAUAGUGGCGAACGGGUGAGUAACACGUGGGUAACCUGCCCAUAAGAGGGGGGAUAACAUCCGGAAACGGGUGCUAAUACCGCAUGGUUUUCUUGAUUGCAUGAUUGAGAAAGGAAAGACGGCCUUUGUGCUGUCGCUUAUGGAUGGACCCGCGGCGUAUUAGUUAGUUGGUGAGGUAACGGCUCACCAAGACGAUGAUACGUAGCCGACCUGAGAGGGUGAUCGGCCACAUUGGGACUGAGACACGGCCCAAACUCCUACGGGAGGCAGCAGUAGGGAAUCUUCCGCAAUGGACGAAAGUCUGACGGAGCAACGCCGCGUGAGUGAAAGAAGGUUUUCGGAUCGUAAAACUCUGUUGUCAGAGAAGAACAAGUUGGAGAGUAACUGCUCCAGCCUUGACGGUAUCUGACCAGAAAGCCACGGCUAACUACGUGCCAGCCGCCGC